CACGUAGGGCGCAAGCGUUGUCCGGAAUUAUUGGGCGUAAAGAGCUCGUAGGCGGUUUGUUGCGUCGGCUGUGAAAUCCCGAGGCUCAACCUCGGGUCUGCAGUCGAUACGAGCAAACUAGAGUGUUGCAGGGGAGACUGGAAUUCCUGGUGUAGCGGUGAAAUGACGCAGAUAUCAGGAGGAACACCGGUGGCGAAGGCGGGUCUCUGGGCAACAACUGACGCUGAGGAGCGAAAGCGUGGGGAGCGAACAGG
RNAcentral lists this ribosomal RNA (254 nucleotides) under uncultured bacterium. RNAcentral's name for it is "partial 16S ribosomal RNA". It matches the Rfam family "Bacterial small subunit ribosomal RNA", at positions 524 to 776 of the family's 1533-position model. The record is from RNAcentral.